AUUGAACGCUAGCGGGAUGCUUUACACAUGCAAGUCGAACGGCAGCGCGGACUUCGGUCUGGCGGCGAGUAGCGAACGGGUGAGUAAUGUAUCGGAACGUGCCCAGUCGCGGGGGAUAGCUACGCGAAAGCGUAGCUAAUACCGCAUACGCCCUACGGGGGAAAGCAGGGGAUCGUAAGACCUUGCACUAUUGGAGCGGCCGAUAUCGGAUUAGCUAGUUGGUGAGGUAACGGCUCACCAAGGCGACGAUCCGUAGCUGGUUUGAGAGGACGACCAGCCACACUGGGACUGAGACACGGCCCAGACUCCUACGGGAGGCAGCAGUGGGGAAUUUUGGACAAUGGGGGCAACCCUGAUCCAGCCAUCCCGCGUGUGCGAUGAAGGCCUUCGGGUUGUAAAGCACUUUUGGCAGGAAAGAAACGUCGCGGGCUAAUACCCCGUGGAACUGACGGUACCUGCAGAAUAAGCACCGGCUAACUACGUG
This 484-nucleotide ribosomal RNA is filed under the name uncultured bacterium. RNAcentral describes it as "partial 16S ribosomal RNA". It matches the Rfam family "Bacterial small subunit ribosomal RNA", at positions 30 to 507 of the family's 1533-position model. The record is from RNAcentral.